AGCCACGUUUUCUUGGCCUUCACGUCAGUGCUCGUCUCCUUGUCCGUGGACAUCUCGGAGUUGCUCCAACACUGUGGUCCCACGGGAAGAUGCUGUCUCCUGAUGGAGCUGCUCUCCUGGGAGUGGGCACCCCCAGGCUCUUUGUCCCCUUUUAUCCCUCCUGGUCAGGGCACGGCCCAAAGGUCACAGUGGGAUCUGGACACACACAAACCCCAUGUCACAAAGGGAAACGGUCUGGGUGGAGUCCCAAUUGUUCCCAAAGGAUCUGGGCACAGGUAUGAAGUUCAACAUUCUCCACUUUAUAAUGCAGAAUAAGACACGGGACAACUCACAUGAUUCAGGAGGCAAAGGAAAAGAAGCUGCUAAUGAGCUGUUGGAAUAGAAUUUUGAAACAAAGGAGACCAAAGACCCAUGAUGGGCUGGACUGCUUCGGUGUCUCUUUGGCUUUAGAUGAAUCCAAAAGACUUUCUUCCUAAAGUGAUUGGAAGUAGUAUACUGUAAACCCUUUCAAGUGUGCAUUUUCCUUGUUGUAUCUUUGUCUAAGAAUACCACAUUUAGUUCAUCUCAUGAAAGGUGCAGCUCCAGGGGCUUGAGGCAAAGCACAGUGUGCAAAUUCCUGUUGCCAUUCCUGCAGGACACAGCCUCUUGAAAUAGGUGAAAAUACAGUAAAGUAUCCUCUCUGAUUGUCUGUGAGGAACAUUUUCUCCUGGGCUGGUUCUACCCAGAGCCAAGGAAAAGCCUUAUGGGAUGCUGUACACUGGAAAAGCACAAAGUUGUACAGCUUGGGUGAGAAAAUGAUGAUUUUAGAAGAAAGAAAUAUUACAAAAUCUAUAGUGUGCAGAGAAAUGUACUUUUGUUGUUGUUGUUGUUGUUGUUGUUUUGUUUUGUUUUGUUUUGUUUUUUCCUUGUGAGGUUGUUCCUUUUCCCUUACAGUCUCUGGACUGCUCUGAGAUCUGCCUGGUAUUUUCCCUGGUUACCAGCGUUAGGUUAUGGGAUAAACACUACGUUGCCUGCCCACAGAGAAGCAACAGUGGGAGGAAAUCCAAAUCAUACCCUGUCCAAUUUGCUCCUGGGCCCAUUGCAGGAGCUGUCAGAGACACAAAGGCACAUGGGAGACCAAAUUACAGGCUCAGAGCAGGAGAAAUCCUGGUCAGGAGACCACACCCCAGCCCCACAUGUCAUUAGGAGAAGGGAGCAUCUCUCCUGAGAUUUUUGGAGCAUAUCCAAGGCCAGCAA
Long non-coding RNA from Passer domesticus (house sparrow), 1236 nucleotides. RefSeq lists it as uncharacterized. The transcript is spliced from 3 exons. Lineage: Eukaryota; Metazoa; Chordata; Aves; Passeriformes; Passeridae. The record is from RefSeq and is a predicted model, not a curated record.